Caenorhabditis elegans is the source of this 225-nucleotide non-coding RNA. The record is from Ensembl. NCBI's taxonomy places the organism in Eukaryota, Metazoa, Nematoda, Chromadorea, Rhabditida, Rhabditidae.
GACUUUUGAAAUUUGGCACUUGUAGCUGUGCCUCUAAACUUUUUGUUGAUAUCUUAAACUUUAGUCACUUUUAUUUUUUUUUUUUGGCAUCUAAAAAAAUAUCACUCCUGAUCCCAUCAUUACAAAUUAAUUUUUUUUUAAGUGGCAAACAUUUAAGAGCACGCUAUUAUACAAUGUUUUUCACUUGAUUUAUUCCAACUUUGAUAAAUUUACUUUUUUUCCAAC